This 1343-nucleotide long non-coding RNA is filed under the name Marmota monax (woodchuck). Lineage: Eukaryota; Metazoa; Chordata; Mammalia; Rodentia; Sciuridae. The record is from RNAcentral.
CUAUCUCAAGCAAGGAGUGGCUCUGUUUUAUAAUUCUUUAGCAUUUGCUACUGUGCUGCCUCUGGGACUGGACUGGGUCAUUAUGUCAUUACCCAGCCACUGCUGAGUCAGUCUAUGGGGGCCCUGCAUUGCCAAGAAAGGCUCUGGCCCCAAUGGUAGAUUCCCUGUUGACACACCUCACUGACAUGGUCACUAAAAAUGUCAACUAUAUUCAUAAAUGGGUCAGAGGGUAACAGCAUUUAAAAGCAUACAUUGGAAGCCUCUAAUAAUCUAUUAAAUCCCUUGAUUGAGAUGACAGUUUUAUUUCCUGAGGCUUCUUUUGUCCAAUUGCUAUGUAAUUACUGGUUAGAGCUCUUGAAGAGAACAGUGUUUCCCAAACCUUAGUUUUUGUCAUUUAUGGGAAGAGAAAGGAAAGCUUGCUUAAACAGGGAGCAGUGGAAAGAAAGAGCAUAGGCCUGAGAACUGAUGGACCAAGUCCAAAUCUCUGCUUCACUUUUUCUUUUAUUAGCAUUUUGAUUUAGGAUUCCCUAAGCCUCAGUUUCCUUAUUUGUACAGUGAUCACUUCUUAGGGUUAUUGGGAUGAAAUCACAUGAGUAGGAAGUGCCUGGUCAGUGCUUGUUAUCUAAUUCCCUCCUCAUUAAUGUUACUGUCCCCCUGAGUCCUCCCCAGAUGGCCUUACCUCCUUGCCCUGUCCCUGUAACUACUGUAGAGCUGGGUAUUUGCACUUCUUUCUUGUCAUUUCUACCUUCCUCACCAAGACAGAUUUAUUUCUUUUAGUGUUUUGUGUGUGUGUGUGUGUGUGAGAGAGAAGUGGGAGGUAAGGAUGAAAAAAGGUUCUAGAAGGGAUUCAGAUUACCUAGGGGAGAGAGCAAUGGCAUUAGAGGUAGAUGUGGACCUUAAUCUUUUUUGUGUCCAGUUAUUCCCAGCUGUGUAGCCUUGGACAAGUUACUUAGCCUUCUCGAGCCUCUGUUUCUUCAUCUGUAAGGAUGAUGUGUUAUUGUGAAAAUUACAUGAUAGCACCUGUGUAACACCUAAUGCGGUGGCCAGAGCAUGGUGCUCAGGGGCUGCUGAAUUCCCUGGGCCAGCUUCGUGCGGCAAAAGUGUGCUUGCUGCUCCCACUUCACUCCAUGGCCAUCACCUUACACAUACUCAUAAUCAUGCUUCCUUCAGGGGUACUGCUAUUUGAUUUCUAAAAAUCGUUUUAAGCCCUUUAGAAAAUGAAAUCUGCUAUUUGUAUUUUAAAACAUCCAACAUAUUUUGUAUGUCACAGUGCUCUGCUUUCAUGAAAAUUUAUGAUACUGAUCCUCAAAUUGAGGCACUUAAUGCCAGGUGAUGAACUUCAG